This 2900-nucleotide ribosomal RNA is filed under the name Clostridioides difficile. RNAcentral's name for it is "bacterial LSU rRNA". It matches the Rfam family "Bacterial large subunit ribosomal RNA". The record is from RNAcentral. Lineage: Bacteria; Bacillati; Bacillota; Clostridia; Peptostreptococcales; Peptostreptococcaceae.
UGGUCAAGUUAUUAAGGGUGCAGGGCGGAUGCCUUGGCACUAGGAGCCGAUGAAGGACGUGAUAAGCUGCGAUAAGCUUCGGGGAGUUGCACGUAAACUUUGAUCCGAAGAUUUCCGAAUGAGGAAACUCACUUAGAGUAAUGUCUAAGUAUCAUUAAGUGAAUACAUAGCUUAAUGAGGGGAACUCAGGGAACUGAAACAUCUAAGUACCUGAAGGAAGAGAAAGAAAUUCGAUUCCGUAAGUAGCGGCGAGCGAACGCGGAUUAGCCCAAACCAAUAAAGUUUUCUUUAUUGGGGUUGCGGACAUAUCAUAACGAAGAGGUAUCGUAAUUGAAGAGGUUUGGAAAGACCCACCACAGAAGGUAAUAGUCCUGUAUGUUAAACGAGAAGACUUCAGAUAUGAUCCAGAGUACCACGGGACACGUGAAACCCUGUGGGAAGCAGGAGGGACCACCCUCCAAGGCUAAAUACUACCUAGUGACCGAUAGCGUAUAGUACCGUGAGGGAAAGGUGAAAAGAACCCCGGGAGGGGAGUGAAAUAGAACCUGAAACCCUGCACUUACAAGCUGUGGAAGCACAUUUCUUGUGUGACCGCGUACUUUUUGUAGAACGGGCCAACGAGUUACGUUAAGUAGCAAGGUUAAGCACUUAAGGUGCGGAGCCGUAGCGAAAGCGAGUUUUAACUGAGCGUUCAGUUACUUGACGUAGACCCGAAACCGGGCGACCUACCCAUGAGCAGGAUGAAGCGAAAGUAAAAUUUCGUGGAGGUCCGAACCCACGAGCGUUGAAAAGCUCGGGGAUGACUUGUGGGUAGCGGUGAAAUUCCAAUCGAGCCCGGAGAUAGCUGGUUCUCCCCGAAAUAGCUUUAGGGCUAGCCUCAAGGUGAGAGAUACGGAGGUAGAGCACUGAAUGUCCUAGGGGGUAUUGCACCUACCGAAGACUAUCAAACUCCGAAUGCCGUCAUCUUAUACUUGGGAGUCAGACUGUGGGUGAUAAGAUUCAUAGUCGAAAGGGCAACAGCCCAGAUCGUCAGCUAAGGUCCCUAAAUGUAAGUUAAGUGGUAAAGGAUGUGGGAUUGCACAGACAACCAGGAUGUUGGCUUAGAAGCAGCCACUCAUUCAAAGAGUGCGUAAUAGCUCACUGGUCGAGUGAUCCUGCGCCGAAGAUUUCCGGGGCUAAAACUUACUACCGAAGCUACGGCAUCAGUAAUGAUGGGUAGGGGAGCUUCCCAUACGGGUUGAAGCAUGACCGUAAGGACAUGUGGACAGUAUGGGAGUGAGAAUGUUGGCAUGAGUAGCGAGAUGUGGGUGAGAAUCCCACAGGCCGUAAACCCAAGGUUUCCAGGGGAAGGUUCGUCCGCCCUGGGUUAGUCGGGACCUAAGCUGAGGCCGAAAGGCGUAGGUGAUGGACAACAGGUUGAUAUUCCUGUACUACCGAUAACCGUUUGAGAGAAGGGAUGACACAGUAGGAUAAGCUAAGCACACUGUUGGUUAUGUGUGCCCAAGCAUUGAGGCGGUCAAAGUAGGCAAAUCCGCUUUGAUAAUGCUGGGAUGUGAUGGGGAGCGAAAUUUAGUAGCGAAGUAGCUGAUUUCACACUGUCAAGAAAAGUCUCUAUCGAGGUUAAAGGUACCCGUACCGCAAACCGACACAGGUGGGUGAGGAGAGUAUCCUAAGGCCAGCGAGAGAACUGUUGUUAAGGAACUCGGCAAAAUGACCCCGUAACUUAGGGAUAAGGGGUGCCACCAUCAGGUGGCCGCAGAGAAUAGGCCCAAGCGACUGUUUACCAAAAACAUAGGUUUCUGCUAAGUCGCAAGACGAUGUAUAGGAGCUGACGCCUGCCCGGUGCUGGAAGGUUAAGGGGAUCUGUUAGAGCAAUCGAAGCAGUGAACUUAAGCCCCAGUAAACGGCGGCCGUAACUAUAACGGUCCUAAGGUAGCGAAAUUCCUUGUCGGGUAAGUUCCGACCCGCACGAAAGGCGUAACGAUUUGGGCACUGUCUCAACAACAGACUCGGUGAAAUUGUAAUUCCGGUGAAGAUGCCGGAUACCUGCGACAGGACGGAAAGACCCCAUGGAGCUUUACUGUAGCUUGACAUUGGGUCUUGGUACUACAUGUACAGGAUAGGUGGGAGGCUUUGAAACCAGGACGCCAGUUUUGGCGGAGCCAUCCUUGGGAUACCACCCUUGUAGUACUGGGACUCUAACCAUAGGCCAUGAAUCUGGUCUUGGGACACUGUCAGGUGGGCAGUUUGACUGGGGCGGUCGCCUCCCAAAAGGUAACGGAGGCGCUCAAAGGUUCUCUCAGUACGGUCGGAAAUCGUACGUAGAGUGUAAAGGCAAAAGAGAGCUUGAUUGCAAGACAUACAGGUCGAGCAAGGAUGAAAAUCGGACUUAGUGAUCCGGUGGUUCUGCGUGGAAGGGCCAUCGCUCAACGGAUAAAAGCUACCCUGGGGAUAACAGGCUUAUCUCCCCCAAGAGUCCACAUCGACGGGGAGGUUUGGCACCUCGAUGUCGGCUCAUCACAUCCUGGGGCUGUAGUAGGUCCCAAGGGUUGGGCUGUUCGCCCAUUAAAGUGGUACGCGAGCUGGGUUCAGAACGUCGUGAGACAGUUCGGUCCCUAUCCGUCGCAGGCGUAGGAAAUUUGAGAAGACCUGUCCUUAGUACGAGAGGACCGGGAUGGACGUACCUCUGGUGUACCAGUUGUCCUGCCAAGGGCAUGGCUGGGUAGCUAUGUACGGAAUGGAUAAGCGCUGAAAGCAUCUAAGCGCGAAGCCAACUUCAAGAUAAGAUUUCCCACCGCAAGGGUAAGACCCCAGAAAGACUAUCUGGUUGAUAGGUCGAAGGUGUAAGUGCAGUAAUGUAUUUAGCUUAUCGAUACUAAUAGGUCGAGGACUUGACCAAU